CCUACGGGAGACAGCAGUGGGGAAUAUUGCACAAUGGGGGAAACCCUGAUGCAGCGACGCCGCGUGAGUGAAGAAGUAUUUCGGUAUGUAAAGCUCUAUCAGCAGGGAAGAAGCAAGACGGUACCUUACUAAGCAGCCCCGGCUAACUACGUGCCAGCAGCCGCGGUAAUACGUAGGGGGCAAGCGUUAUCCGGAUUUACUGGGUGUAAAGGGAGCGUAGACGGUAUGGCAAGUCUGAUGUGAAAGCCCAGGGCUUAACUCUGGUACUGCUUUUGAAACUGUUAGGCUAGAGUGCAGGAGAGGUAAGUGGAAUGCCUAGUGUAGCGGUGGAAUGCGUAGAGAUUAGGAGGAACACCAGUGGCGAAGGCGGCUUACUAGACAGUAACUGACGUUGAGGCUCGAAAGCGUGGGGAGCAAACAGGAUUAGAUACCCGAGUAGUC
RNAcentral lists this ribosomal RNA (441 nucleotides) under uncultured bacterium. RNAcentral describes it as "partial 16S ribosomal RNA". It matches the Rfam family "Bacterial small subunit ribosomal RNA", at positions 338 to 795 of the family's 1533-position model. The record is from RNAcentral.